UACAGAGGGUGCAAACGUUGUUCGGAAUUACUGGGCAUAAAGCGUGCGUAGGCGGCCUCGUAAGUGUCUGAUGAAAUCCCACGGCUUACCCGUGGAACUGUCAGGCAUACUGCGAGGCUAGAGGAUGGUAGAGGAGAGCGGAACUCUUGGUGGAGCGGUGAAAUGCGUAGAUAUCAAGAGGAACACCGGUGGCGAAGGCGGCUCUCUGGUCCAUAACUGACGCUGAGGUACGAAAGCCAGGGGAGCAAACGGG
Molecule: ribosomal RNA, 253 nt
Filed under: uncultured bacterium
Lineage: Bacteria
Description: partial 16S ribosomal RNA
Rfam family: Bacterial small subunit ribosomal RNA
Source: RNAcentral